UAGAAAACAAUACCUCUUUUAAAAAUCCAGCCAAUUCUUAAGCAAAGGCAGCAGGGAGGGUGGGAGCAGAGGAAGGGAGGGAGUCUUAGAUAAAUACAAGUUAAUGGGUCAUAAUGAGGUCUAAUGACAGACAUCGCUUUCCUUUGGGACACAAAGGGCAAUGGAAACAAACAAAUGAUAAGGCAAAUAAAAACAAUAGUCCACCGGUUCUGUGGUGGGUACAGGCUGGUCUGCAUGCAGUGAAGCACUAUGUAAAUGAUUGUAGAGCACUGCACUGCUAUUCAACGUGUUCUUGCCUGAGAGAAAACAUGGAAAAACUUUUACACUGAUGAAUUUUAGGGAAAAAAAAUGGAUUAAAAAAUAGGUUAGAUUAAACAUUUUUAUUUGCAAAAGAAGUGUUUUUUCUUCAUGUUUUGGAAUUAAGACUUGUUGGUCUGACUCUUUACAAGCAGGAAAAAAAGGACAAUAGAAAUGACUAACACAUCCCUAUGAGAAGAGAUGAGAAGGACAAUUACAGAAGAAGCACAACCUGGAGGGACAACUGCUUUCUAAGAUCUUUAUUGUGUAAAAAUCAUCAAUAUUCAAGGAGUUCAUAAAAAUCAUACAUCAACAGGAGAGACAGGAACUUUGGAAAGAUCAUUAAUGAUGGCAACAACUGCUGACCUUUCAGCUGAUUCUAACCCAAGCCAAACCGUGAAAUAUGAUCCAAAGUCGGAAACGGUGAUGUUACCAAAUGGGUUGGUUUCUGUGGCAGGUGUCACGGUGGUGACAGGGGGAGCAGAGCUGUCCUGUGGCUCCUGUAUGUUGGCCUUUGGUGUUUGGGGCACUCUGGUUGGUUUGAGUGUUGUGUCAGUAGGUUUGUGGGAUCAUCUGGAGUACAAGAUGAGUGGUCUGUCACACCUUCUGGCUCUUGGAUUGGUACUGCUGCUUUCCAGUUUGAGUCUUGUAGCCAUGAUCUUCCUCCUCCGUUUCUUAAUGAAAAAGAGAAGAAUGAUGUCCAGAAGACAGAGGGCAGAAGUGAAUCUAGUGCUGGUUAAUGAGUAUGCAGAAGUUUUAAAAAGGGUCACAGUGUAAAAGAAUAUGUCAGACUCCCUGCUGCUCCAUCUUUGUUUUUCUUCAUCACUCUUUGCUUAAUCAUGAAAGAAUGUCACAGGAAAUUCAUUGGAUUCAGUGCUACAGGAAACACUUUGCUAUUUCCUUUGUGACUUCAGAAAACACAAGAGACAUAUUUGCUUCUGCAUUCAUGUCUUUAUUAGACUUAUAUUGUAAAUCUAACUUUAAUUGAAUAUCAUUCCAGAGGUUUUUAGCUUUUAAGUUGAUACAAUGACUCUUAAUAAUUGCAUAUCUCUUCUUAAAUAUGUGUAUGUAUCAUUGUGUAAUUUCGUCUAUAAUCCAAGUGCAGCUGAAGUAUAUUUUUGUCAUUAUGUAUUUUGAGUUAAUAAUAUUUUCUUCAUACGCAGAAAAACACAUGAACACAUGACAACAGGUCCAAUAACAUCACAGCUGCACAGCAAAUAAUGAUGCAUUAUAUAAAAUUGUUAAAGUUUGUGUGCUUAAGAAAACCCACUGCAUUUCUAACAUAAGCAUUAAUUUCUUUGUUGCUGAAUGUGCUAUCUGCCUUUACAAAACAAAAGUGUUUGGAAAUAUACUGGAGAAUGUAAUGUUAUUUCAAAAAUACUUCUAUAGCAAUGAAAACAAAAACUGCAUUAAAUUUUUGCAUGUUAUAGCUUUAGUGAAACACUCAAUUCAUUUCUCAAGAAUGAUUUUUUUUUUUUCCAAGAGUUAAUGGUGGGUUUACAUAAAGCUGAACAUUAUCCAACUUUAUUGUUUGCAUAGUUACACAUCUGAUAUAUGAAAAUAUAUGUGAUAAAAGUAUGUAAUAAAUAUGGGAUCAAAUAAAUCAAAUGUGAUAAUAUAUGUGAUAAAAGUUUUGGAUUUUUGGAAAAUUGGAUGUCUUUUUAAAGUCAUGGCAAAUUGGUGGAUGAAAAUUGAUAUCUGACAUUUCUAACUUAUUUUAUUGAGUACUCCAUGUACUAUAUAUAAAUACAAAUACAUGGAUAUAUAUCACAAUAUGUUUGUAUUUAUAUUUUCACAUAUUUUUCAAUAUAUGUGAAGCGGCGAUUCCUUAUGUAAUAUUCAAUAUACUGGAAUAUAGUAACAUAAUAUAUUAUUCAUAUUCACUAUAUUUCCAACAUACAACAAAUUAUUUAUACCGAUUGUUAAUAUAUAAGAAUAUAUAUAUUUUCUUUGUGUAAGGGUGGUAAUUUAUCACUGUCUUUUUGAUGGGUAGCACCCAAGGUGGAUUUUCUAAUGAUGAUUCAAAGAGGUUAAACAGUCUUUUUUCAAGCCUAUUGACAUUUUGUUCAGCAAUGCUAUUCUUAAUAAUCUUACUUUAUGCCAUAUAUGAUACAAUGUUCUAUUUUUAAACAAUUCUUAUAACCCUGGAAUGGUUAAACAGACUUCAAAGAAACACUUUAUUGCUCUAAACUAUCAUUAGGAAUGCAAAUGUACAGUAAUUGACAAACGUGCUGCCUGUUAAAAGAUCUCAUUUGAAAUAAAAUUAAUGAAAGAAAUGUUCUCUGUAAAAAUGUAUGUCUCCAUCUGCUGGUCACUUGUGAUUUACUUGAGGAAAUUGUAUACUGCCUGUCAUGAAAAUUAAUUACCCUUACCAAAAAGUAGUAUAUGUUAAGUUAGUAAAGUAAAGUUCAAGUAUAUUUUUAAGUAUACUUUAUGUAGUAAGUAUGCAAAUAUAAGUGUACUAUUUCAAUACUUAUAAGGCCAAUUCAAUAAUUGGCCCACUUUCUAGUAGCCUAUAUAAAAGUAUACUUUUAAGUAUACUUUAAGUAUAACAGUAGUACAUUUUGAGUACACAACUAGUUUACAUUUAUGUUUUUAGUUUGUAUUGCAACUAUACUAAAAGUGAACAUAGGUAUACUGAUAGUUUACUAAUUAAAUACUUAGCAUUAAAUACUAGCAUACACUUUGAAGUAUAGUCUCAGUAAA
This is a long non-coding RNA of Cyprinus carpio carpio, 3003 nucleotides long. The record is from Ensembl. NCBI's taxonomy places the organism in Eukaryota, Metazoa, Chordata, Actinopteri, Cypriniformes, Cyprinidae.